CCUACGGGAGGCUGCAGUGGGGAAUAUUGCACAAUGGGGGAAACCCUGAUGCAGCGACGUCGCGUGAGUGAAGAAGUAUCUCGGUAUGUUAAGCUUUAUCAGCAGGGAAGAAAAUGAAGGUACCUGUUUAAGAUGCACCGGCUAACUACGUGCCAGAAGCCGCGGUAAUAAGUAGGGGGCAAGCGUUAUCCGGAUUUAAUGGGCGUAAAGGGAGCGUAGACGGCAGCACAAGUCUGGAGUGAAAUGCCGGGGCUUAACCCCGGAACUGCUGUUGAAACUGUGCAGCUAGAGUGCAGGAGAGGUAAGUGGAAUGCCUAGUGUAGCGGUGAAAUGCAUAGAUAUUAGGAAGAACACCAGUUGCGAAGGCAGCUUACUGGACUGUAACUGACGUUGAGGCUCGAAAGCGUGGGUAGCAAACAGGAUUAGAUACCCCAGUAGUC
RNAcentral lists this ribosomal RNA (440 nucleotides) under uncultured bacterium. Its description in RNAcentral is "partial 16S ribosomal RNA". It matches the Rfam family "Bacterial small subunit ribosomal RNA", at positions 338 to 795 of the family's 1533-position model. The record is from RNAcentral.